CCUACGUGUGACAGCAGUGAGGAAUAUUGGUCAAUGGGCGCGAGCCUGAACCAGCCAAGUCGCGUGAGGGAAGACGGCCCUACGGGUUGUAAACCUCUUUUGCCGGGGAGCAACGGGCGCCACGUGUGGCGCCACUGAGAGUACCCGGAGAAAAAGCAUCGGCUAACUCCGUGCCAGCAGCCGCGGUAAUACGGAGGAUGCGAGCGUUAUCCGGUUUUAUUGGGUUUAAAGGGUGCGUAGGCGGAGCGUUAAGUCAGUGGUAAAAUUGAGGGGCUCAACCCCUUCCCGCCGUUGAAACUGGCGCUCUUGAGUGGGAGAGAAGUAUGCGGAAUGCGUGGUGUAGCGGUGAAAUGCAUAGAUAUCACGCAGAACCCCGAUUGCGAAGGCAGCAUGCCGGCUUCCGACUGACGCUGAGGCACGAAAGCGUGGGGAUCGAACAGGAUUAGAUACCCCUGUAGUC
This 460-nucleotide ribosomal RNA is filed under the name uncultured bacterium. RNAcentral's name for it is "partial 16S ribosomal RNA". It matches the Rfam family "Bacterial small subunit ribosomal RNA", at positions 338 to 795 of the family's 1533-position model. The record is from RNAcentral.